This 598-nucleotide ribosomal RNA is filed under the name uncultured bacterium. RNAcentral describes it as "bacterial SSU rRNA". It matches the Rfam family "Bacterial small subunit ribosomal RNA", at positions 338 to 950 of the family's 1533-position model. The record is from RNAcentral.
CCUACGGGAGGCAGCAGUGGGGAAUAUUGGGCAAUGGAGGAAACUCUGACCCAGCGACGCCGCGUGCGGGAUGAAGGCCUUCGGGUUGUAAACCGCUUUCAGUAGGGAAGAAGCGAAAGUGACGGUACCUACAAAAGAAGCACCGGCUAACCAUGUGCCAGCAGCCGCGGUAAUACAUAGGGUGCAAGCGUUGUCCGGAAUUAUUGGGCGUAAAGAGCUCGUAGGUCGUUUGUUACGUCGGAUGUGAAAACCUGAGGCUCAACCUCAGGCCUGCAUUCGAUACGGGCAAACUAGAGUUUGGUAGGGGAGACUGGAAUUCCUGGUGUAGCGGUGGAAUGCGCAGAUAUCAGGAGGAACACCAAUGGCGAAGGCAGGUCUCUGGGCCAAUACUGACACUGAGGAGCGAAAGUCUGGGGAGCGAACAGGAUUAGAUACCCUGGUAGUCCAGACCGUAAACGGUGGGCACUAGUUGUGGGAACCUUCCACGGUUUCUGCGACGCAGCUAACGCAUUAAGUGCCCCGCCUGGGGAGUACGAUCGCAAGNUUAAAACUCAAAGGAAUUGACGGCNGACGNGCGACGACGACGACGAGGAGUAGG